RNAcentral lists this non-coding RNA (87 nucleotides) under human gut metagenome. RNAcentral describes it as "TPP riboswitch (THI element)". It matches the Rfam family "TPP riboswitch aptamer (THI element)", at positions 7 to 92 of the family's 105-position model. Rfam says of the family: Vitamin B(1) in its active form thiamin pyrophosphate (TPP) is an essential coenzyme that is synthesised by coupling of pyrimidine and thiazole moieties in bacteria. The previously detected thiamin-regulatory element, thi box was extended, resulting in a new, highly conserved RNA secondary structure, the THI element, which is widely distributed in eubacteria and also occurs in some archaea. The record is from RNAcentral.
UACUGCUGGGGGAGCCAUAAAGCUGAGAAAUCCUGUUGGAUUGACCCUUGGAACUUGAACCGGGUUAUACCGGCGUAAGGAAGCAUU